Molecule: ribosomal RNA, 732 nt
Filed under: uncultured fungus
Lineage: Eukaryota; Fungi
Description: eukaryotic LSU rRNA
Rfam family: Eukaryotic large subunit ribosomal RNA
Source: RNAcentral
CCCGCUGAACUUAAGCAUAUCAAUAAGCGGAGGAAAAGAAACUAACAAGGAUUCCCCUAGUAACGGCGAGUGAAGCGGGAAUAGCUCAAAUUUGAAAUCUCACAGGUUUUCCUGUGCGAAUUGUAGUUUAAAGAAACGUUUUCCGGGGCGGCCUGGGUAUAAGUCCUUUGGAAAAAGGCAUCGUAGAGGGUGACAAUCCCGUUUAUGACCCGGUGUCUGCUCCUUUGUGAUACGUUUUCUAAGAGUCAGGUAGUUUGGGAUUGCUGCCUAAAAUGGGUGGUAAAUACCAUCUAAAGCUAAAUAUUGGCGAGAGACCGAUAGCGAACAAGUACCGUGAGGGAAAGAUGAAAAGAACUUUGAAAAGAGAGUUAAACAGUACGUGAAAUUGCCAAAAGGGAAACGCUUGGAACCAGUAUUGUCUCCAGGUAAUCAAGCACACGUUCCGAAAGGGCCGCGUGUGGUGCACUUGCCUGAGGACAGGCCAACAUCAGUUUGGUUUGGGGUAAAAAGCCGGAGAAAGGUAGCUUGGACUUGUCUGAGUGUUAUAGUCUCCGGUCAUGCCUUGCACUGGACUGAGGUCUGCAGCGCCAUUUGGAUACCCGAUUGCCUCCUGAACCACUUUCUUCAGACAGCUUGCUGACUUUGGAAAUGUCUAGGGAGCCCAGUCGGUUUGUCACACCAGCGCUUAGGAUGUUGGCGAAAUGGUUCCAAACGACCCGUCUUGAAACACGG